RNAcentral lists this ribosomal RNA (254 nucleotides) under uncultured bacterium. RNAcentral describes it as "partial 16S ribosomal RNA". It matches the Rfam family "Bacterial small subunit ribosomal RNA", at positions 524 to 776 of the family's 1533-position model. The record is from RNAcentral.
UACGGAGGGUGCUAGCGUUGUUCGGAAUUACUGGGCGUAAAGGGCGCGUAGGCGGUGUGUCAAGUCAGGCGUGAAAGCCCCGGGCUCAACCUGGGAACCGCGCUUGAGACUGGCACGCUCGAGUUCGGGAGAGGAUGGUGGAAUUCCCAGUGUAGAGGUGAAAUUCGUAGAUAUUGGGAAGAACACCGAUGGCGAAGGCAGCCAUCUGGGACCGACACUGACGCUGAGGCGCGAAAGCGUGGGGAGCAAACAGG